AAUGAAGUGCCUGAAAAAAAGGAUUAUUUUGAUAGAAUAAGUCAUGCAUUUAUGCCUUCAUUU
Molecule: transfer RNA, 63 nt
Filed under: Episcapha fortunii
Lineage: Eukaryota; Metazoa; Arthropoda; Insecta; Coleoptera; Erotylidae
Description: tRNA-Ile
Source: RNAcentral